Molecule: long non-coding RNA, 742 nt
Organism: Paramisgurnus dabryanus
Lineage: Eukaryota; Metazoa; Chordata; Actinopteri; Cypriniformes; Cobitidae
Source: RefSeq, a predicted model, not a curated record
GCUAAUAAAUUAGCACGUUAGCACGUUAUUGUAAUAUCCCAUAGUACAUACAUGUUAUUAAAACUUGAACUAAUGCACUGUGAGUCUUAUAAAUUGCUUACAUACCUCACCGAUUUCUGCCAGUCUGGAAAACGCUCGGUUUAGUUCCUGUCUCCGCCUCCCAAAAUGUCUAGUGUAAUCGGAUUGGUCAGAUGACUACUCAACUGUUAUUGGUCAACUGGGUUCGGCGUGUGUUUGAAAGGUUACGCCCCUGACUACGCGUGGAUUUUCCGGUUCUGACUGAGUCACAGGCAACGUAAACAAGCGCUAUAUUUCUCUAUAAACGAUGGUGUCUGUACUGCCUUACCACUUCAAGCUCGAUCCAGAGAGUUCAGACGGCCGUUACGAUGUAAACGAUCUCCGUCAAUGAACGCGAUUGGAUUUAACUUUUUUAGGUGUCCUUAGCUCUGCCAGAAUGCUAAACGAAGACGAAAAUGUGUUGCAAAGACAUCCAAAAGGUUUUAAGGAGAAUGCAACAUGUUCCAGGGCCUCUUACCUGCGUUAUUCAUCAUCCAGGUUUUGCACAAAUUGUCUAAAUCCCUACACACAGAACAUUUAUUGUACCGACUAUAAGCCUUUGAGGUGCAGGACUAGAAUACGCUUGGAGCUUCCUGAUCAGAUCGGUCACAAUUUUGGCUUUCGAUGACCCCUGCACUGAAGAUGGCAUGCAAUCACGUCCUCCUUUGAAGGUCUCUCAAACUGU